UGCAGACAGUUUUGAAGAACGUCGUAAGAUUUUUAAAGACAUUUGGGAUAGCAGUGAUUCUAAUGAUUCUGAAGAUCAUAAUCAGAAGCCAAAAGUUAUCAAAACUGCUAGAUUGAGCAAUGACGUUAUUGCAAUAA
This is a long non-coding RNA of Papilio machaon (common yellow swallowtail), 137 nucleotides long. RefSeq lists it as uncharacterized. The transcript has 2 exons. The record is from RefSeq and is a predicted model, not a curated record. Lineage: Eukaryota; Metazoa; Arthropoda; Insecta; Lepidoptera; Papilionidae.